This 648-nucleotide ribosomal RNA is filed under the name Triticum aestivum (bread wheat). RNAcentral describes it as "partial small subunit ribosomal RNA". The record is from RNAcentral. Lineage: Eukaryota; Viridiplantae; Streptophyta; Magnoliopsida; Poales; Poaceae.
GAAGAGAGACAGCACCGUGAGCUUAAUUAGUUGAUCAGAAAGUUAGUACGACCACAUCUCACCAUGUCCAAGAAGGUUUUGGUGGCCAUGGUCUUGGUUCUCAUGGCCAUGUCCGGCUCGUGGACCCGGGCGGCAGCGAGGCCACUGCCAGGUGACGGGUUGCACGCCGAGGAGCCCGCCUCUGCCGGCCCCGUCCGCGGUGUGCUGCCUGGACCGGCAUCACAAUGGCGAGGGCACAUGCUUCUGCCGUUGGAGAAGAAGACGGGGGCAGGCCUAUCUUGUGGCACCAAUGAUAAGAAUAACGCACAUUGCCCCCCGUAGAGAUGAAUGUACGCCUUACAGCAAAUUCUCGUGCCUUUGCAUGGGGCCAAACCUGAAGCUAUAUUCGAUUCGUAGUGAUGUAACGUGAUAAUCGAUCGCUAGGGUUCAGAAGUUUAUGUUUGUUAAUUUCUUACAAAAUCAUGCAUUUUCCCUUUAAUUUUAGUCGGAGUUUGAACUUGAGGACAUGUGGUAGUAAUCAUGUCCUUAGAUCAAUGUACUUGUUUGCAAUGAUCAAACAGACAAGUAUAUUGGUUAAAAGCAACCUCAUCUACAUAUAUUGGUAGGAUAUUUAAAUGUGACGAAAUGAAAAUGUUAUUUAUUCUCCGG